AGAAAUCAGUUCAGCACUAAGUCACUUUGUCUAUAUGGCAAAUGUGAGAUGCAGUGUAUGGAGCGUCAAUAUUCUAGUAUGAGAAAUUAACGAUUUAAGUCCUUCUUAAAUGAGGCCAUUUACCCAUAGAGGGUGCCAGGCCCGUAUAACGUUAAUGAUUACUAGAUGAUGUUUCCAAAGAGUCGUGUUGCUUGAUAGUGCAGCACUAAGUGGGUGGUAAACUCCAUCUAAAACUAAAUAUAACCAUGAGACCGAUAGUAAACAAGUACCGUGAGGGAAAGUUGAAAAGAACUCUGAAUAGAGAGUUAAACAGUACGUGAAACUGCUUAGAGGUUAAGCCCGAUGAACCUGAAUAUCCGUUAUGGAAAAUUCAUCAUUAAAGUUGUAAUAUUUUAACAAUAUUAUAAUAAUAGUGUGCAUUUUUUCCAUAUAAGGACAUUGUAAUCUAUUAGCAUAUACCAAAUUUAUCAUAAAAUAUGACUUAUAGUUUAUUUAAAUUAUUAUGCUUGCAUUUUAACAUAAAAUAAAUGUCAUUAAUUUGAUAAAGUGUUGAUAAAUUAAAAUUAAUACAAUGCGUUAAUUUUUCGAAAUUAUAUAAUGGCAUAAUUAUCAUCGAUUUUUGUGUUUAUUAUAUGCAUUUGUAUGAUUAA
This 650-nucleotide ribosomal RNA is filed under the name Drosophila limingi. Its description in RNAcentral is "eukaryotic LSU rRNA". It matches the Rfam family "Eukaryotic large subunit ribosomal RNA", at positions 99 to 634 of the family's 3401-position model. Lineage: Eukaryota; Metazoa; Arthropoda; Insecta; Diptera; Drosophilidae. The record is from RNAcentral.